This 270-nucleotide long non-coding RNA is filed under the name Trifolium pratense (red clover). RNAcentral's name for it is "long non-coding RNA (TPRA_LNC013292)". Lineage: Eukaryota; Viridiplantae; Streptophyta; Magnoliopsida; Fabales; Fabaceae. The record is from RNAcentral.
UCGCGUCAAGAUAUUUGCAACUAUUGCAUACAUAUCCUCCAUGAUAGCAAAAACCUAUCCUUUCCCAUUAACCUCCUUCACGCUAAUAACCUUUGCUUCCCUUGUAACUUUCCUUAAACCACGAUGGUGCUUGAAACGCGAGUUCAAACUCUUAACAUCUAUUUUCACACUUCUCGUACACAACACGCGGUGUUUCAUAUUUAAAUUGGAUCGUCGAAACGAGCUCUGGAGCAUGAGAUGUCGUGUGUGCUUUGUAGCUGCGAAUUUAAC